RNAcentral lists this long non-coding RNA (1908 nucleotides) under Coffea arabica (coffee). RNAcentral's name for it is "long non-coding RNA (CARA_LNC007650)". Lineage: Eukaryota; Viridiplantae; Streptophyta; Magnoliopsida; Gentianales; Rubiaceae. The record is from RNAcentral.
CAGCAUGGAUGGCUUGCAGGAUCCUUCUCAUCGCAUUGUGUCCUCUCAUGACAUAUCAGCUUCUGUUGAAGAAUCUGUCAACCAAGAUCAUGUGCACUGCAUUCUUGGUAUGUAAACUUCUUUAUCCAUUUUAAUCUUGUCCUUUUUGCUUUGUUUACUGUUUGUUAGUUAUUCUUUCAAUUUAUUGCUUUUACGAAUUUGUGCUUUAGGUCAUUAGAGUUUGAUAUCAUUUUACAUCAUUACUCAACUAGAUUCUAGGACUUUGUGUUGGCUAGUUCUGGAAUUCUAUGCAGUUGUAUGAUGAGAGGAUGUAUAGUAGAGAGUCUGGAACUUGGUUUAAUGGUGUCUUUUCAACCUUUUGACAUUGACUUAUUCCAAAAAUGUGCUUUUGAACUCAAGAGACUGUCUAAAAUUGCAGAAGCGGAUAUUAGCCUAUUACAUCUUGUGUCUCAAGUUUCUUAUGAAUUCUUCCCAGGAUGUGUAUCAUUUUAGAUUUCUUUGUUGAUAUUUGCCUCACUUUUUUCCAAUUGAACCAAUAAUAAGCCAAGACGAUGCACAUUUCACAUUUAAUACUCUGAACUUUCAAUAAGUUUCUGUUUCUUUGCGCCUGUUCUUAAUUGAUUUUGAUUCUUGUAAAAGCUGAUCUUAGAAAAGCUUAAAAUUGAAAUCAAAAGGCAUGUCUCUACUAGCUUCUGAUUUUGGCUUUUCAUAGUUUAAAAAAGUCAAAGGCUGAAAGAAGAGUCUUUGAGAUCAUCUUAUGACACAUUUUUCAAAUUGAGAAGCUAAAAGCAGGUCCAGCAAUUGACUUGGGAACAGGCCCAUCGUGACUGAAGUCAAAGUGCUAGGGAUUUCGUUUAAAGCUCAUCAGCUGCUGCAAUAGACUGAGUUUAGAAGGCUGAGUUUAUACUACAUUAACCCUUCCUUCAUGUUUUAUAAACACUAGCGGGAAUAGCCACACCCUAGGGCGUGCAAAUUAAGAAAAAAAUUAAGUUAUUUUUAUUAAAACCAAUGGAAGUUAUUAGAAGUUUUAUUUAUUUAUUUUUUGUUGCAUACCAAGAAAAAAUUGAAUUCUCUUUGCAAAAAAAAAAAAAAAGUUAUUGGAAGUUAAAAUAGUGGAAGUUAUUGGAAGUUACUGAACUUUAGUAGUUAUCUUUAGUAAAUCUUACUUUUGUGAGGGUAAAAUUGAAAAAAUAAAAGAUGACAAAAUAUUUUUACACCAAACCCGUGCUUCAUUGCUUUUAUAUGGAAAGAUGUUCUGGCUAAAUAAGAUGCAUAUGAUGCACCUUUCCGAGAAACUUCAGCAAUUAUGCUUUUCGUGCAGAAGAAACCUCAUGGUUUUAACUUCCAAAGAAUAAAUGAAAGCCAAUGUUGAGAAUCUAAUAAUUUGUGAACUAUAUGCUUAUGAGGUGGUGUAAUUUAUUCUUUAGAUCUGAAGUGUUGCACUGUACUGAACUUACUUUCAUAUUGCUAAAUGUAACACUGUCCAUCAAUUUCAUUUCAUCAAGGUCCUUUUACUUGUAUCAUUGCUUCGCCAAAGAUAAUCUUCCUUAGCAAUUUGUAAGAGUUGUAAAUCUUGCUUCAUGUAUUAUAUUUCCUGUAUGACUUCUUUUCCUUCUUCACACUUUGAUCAUGUUUCCCUGAAUACUAACUCUAAUAAAUAAAGAAAGAAAAACCAAGGAAUUGAUGCAUAAAAAUGCUGAAAUUCUCGAAGUGUUGACAGAAGAAUCACUGUCAUGCUAGAAGGCCAAGGAGACACCACACUAGGAGCUUGACACUAGAAGAAGCAACAGAUAGUAUACUCUUCUGCAGCUCCAUCGUCCACAAUCUGGCCUAUGAGGCUGCAAGUAUUGCAAUAGAGAAAGAAAACUACACCCAGUUGGAGGGUUCCAGGCCAGCAGUAACUAUCGU